Small nuclear RNA from Dipodomys ordii (Ord's kangaroo rat), 107 nucleotides. The record is from Ensembl. NCBI's taxonomy places the organism in Eukaryota, Metazoa, Chordata, Mammalia, Rodentia, Heteromyidae.
GUGCUCACUUCAGCAGCACAUAUACUAAAAUUGGAACGAUACAGAGAAAAUUAGCAUGGCCCCUGCGCAAGGAUGACACACAAAUUUGUGAAGCGUUCCAUAUUUUU